Molecule: ribosomal RNA, 257 nt
Filed under: uncultured bacterium
Lineage: Bacteria
Description: partial 16S ribosomal RNA
Rfam family: Bacterial small subunit ribosomal RNA
Source: RNAcentral
UACGUAGGGUGCAAGCGUUAAUCGGAAUUACUGGGCGUAAAGCGUGCGCAGGCGGUUUUGUAAGUCUGUCGUGAAAUCCCCGGGCUCAACCUGGGAAUUGCGAUGGAGACUGCAAGGCUAGAAUCUGGCAGAGGGGGGUAGAAUUCCACGUGUGAGCAGUGAAAUGCGUAGAGAUGUGGAGGAACACCGAUGGCGAAGGCAGCCCCCUGGGUCAAGAUUGACGCUCAUGCACGAAAGCGUGGGGAGCAAACGAGGAU